GAUACAUCACAUGUUUUAAGCAGAAGAGACUAUGAUGUCCAGAAUGAAUCCUCUACUUCAAACAACAGCCACACUAACUACCAGGGUGGAUCAUUCAUUGCAACUGGUGGUGGAUCAAGUGGUCAGGGUGGUUGCAUUUGUCCUGAUGGAAGCAGCGGUGUUAGACAGGGAGACCCUGGUUCUUCAUACAGCACAUAUUCUGGUAACCAGGUAAACAUUCAGAUUAAGCAUCCAAUUCAAAAGCUUCAUAUCAAACCUUUCCAGAAGGAGUAGCCAAAUAAUAACCAGUAACCCAUUCUGUCCUCUCUGCACA
This 313-nucleotide long non-coding RNA is filed under the name Phasianus colchicus (ring-necked pheasant). Its description in RNAcentral is "lncRNA (ENSPCLG00000022338.1)". Lineage: Eukaryota; Metazoa; Chordata; Aves; Galliformes; Phasianidae. The record is from RNAcentral.